RNA transcript from Coccinella septempunctata (seven-spotted ladybird), 715 nucleotides. RefSeq lists it as uncharacterized. The transcript is spliced from 3 exons. NCBI's taxonomy places the organism in Eukaryota, Metazoa, Arthropoda, Insecta, Coleoptera, Coccinellidae. The record is from RefSeq and is a predicted model, not a curated record.
UCGCGAUAAGGUGUUUUUAUUUUUUUAUUUUCGAGACUAAUGAAGUUUUGUGUGAAAUCCCCAGCGUUCAUCUCCGUAUAAAGAACGAAUGUGAAAUUUCAGCAACAAAUUCAAGAAUUAUAGUCGGCUUCGAAGUGUUAACACAAGCAUAAGCUAUAAACAGUUUAUAGGAUGUUUGUGUGGUGUGGAUACUCGGUUGAGUGAGCUUACAAUCGAGAGUUGAGGAGGCUGUGCAAAUUUUGGUCACUCCUGUUACGGAGGAAUGGGAAAGAGAGCUCCUAAAGAACUUAUGCAAUUUACUGACCCCCGGCAAAAUCAGGGAGAAAUUCUGAUUGGAUCAAGGUUUUUUAAUGAUAAGCCUUACGUAAAACUGAAGAUGAAUCGCUUGCAGUAUCAACAACUCUCUAGAAUUUUAAGACAAUGGAUCCAUUCCCAGACGAUGCCCCAAAAUUUCGAAGAUGAUAAGAACCAGAUCUAACGAUGGAACUCAAUUUGCAAUAAAAGAUCAAUGGCUGGAAAACGUAAAUCAACACACAUUAAAUCUAUUGAAAUGUUAUGAAUAUUAAAUAUUCAAUUAUGUAUAGAUAAUAUUUGUAUAUUGACACAUAAGUUUGCAAAGAAAUAAAUAUUUAUAUCGCCCUGGCUAUCUCAACUAAGCAAAAACCCAGCUUUGUUGCAAUAUGCUCAGCCUCAUGAAAAACAGUUCAUUGUUCUG